RNAcentral lists this transfer RNA (68 nucleotides) under uncultured Ulvibacter sp. It matches the Rfam family "tRNA", at positions 5 to 66 of the family's 71-position model. Rfam says of the family: Transfer RNA (tRNA) molecules are approximately 80 nucleotides in length. The record is from RNAcentral. RNAcentral also lists the same sequence under 1 other name. Lineage: Bacteria; Pseudomonadati; Bacteroidota; Flavobacteriia; Flavobacteriales; Flavobacteriaceae.
CCGAUGUAGCUCAGCUGGCUAGAGCAGCUGAUUUGUAAUCAGCAGGUCGUGGGUUCGAGUCCCUCCAU